Molecule: ribosomal RNA, 497 nt
Filed under: uncultured bacterium
Lineage: Bacteria
Description: partial 16S ribosomal RNA
Rfam family: Bacterial small subunit ribosomal RNA
Source: RNAcentral
GAUGAACGCUGGCGGCGUGCCUAAUACAUGCAAGUCGAGCGAACAGGCGAUGAUCUUGCUCCUCUCACGUUAGCGGCGCACGGGAGUAUAACACGUGUAAAACCCACCUAUCAUACUGAUAUAACUUCGGGAAACCGGAGCUAAUACCGUAGAAUAUCUUGAACCGCAGGGUUCGAUAGUGAGAGACGGUUUUUCGGGCUCGUAUAGAGGGUUCCGCGCCGCAUUAGAUAGUUGUUAAGUUAACGGCUUAUGAAGGGUACGAUGCGUAGCCGACCUGAGAGGGUGGUCGGCGACACUGGAACUGAGACAGGGUCAAGAGGACUACGGGAGGCAGCAGUCGGCAAUCUUACGCAAUGGGCGAAAGCAUGACGGAGCAACGGGAAGUGAGUGACGACAGUGUUCGGUUCGUAAAAAUGUGUUAUUAGGGAAGAACAAAUGUGUCAGUAAAUAUGGCCGUAUUGACGGUAACUGGUAAGAAAGCAACGGCUAACUACGUG